CAUGCAGUCGAGCGGGGAAGUGUAGCCUUUGCGUACAUUACCUAGCGGCGGACGGGUGAGUAAUGCUUAGGAAUCUGCCUAUUAGUGGGGGACAACAUUCCGAAAGGAAUGCUAAUACCGCAUACGUCCUACGGGAGAAAGCAGGGGAUCUUCGGACCUUGCGCUAAUAGAUGAGCCUAAGUCGGAUUAGCUAGUUGGUGGGGUAAAGGCCUACCAAGGCGACGAUCUGUAGCGGGUCUGAGAGGAUGAUCCGCCACACUGGGACUGAGACACGGCCCAGACUCCUACGGGAGGCAGCAGUGGGGAAUAUUGGACAAUGGGCGGAAGCCUGAUCCAGCCAUGCCGCGUGUGUGAAGAAGGCCUUUUGGUUGUAAAGCACUUUAAGCGAGGAGGAGGCUACUCUAGUUAAUACCUAGAGAUAGUGGACGUUACUCGCAGAAUAAGCACCGGCUAACUCUGUGCCAGCAGCCGCGGUAAUACAGAGGGUGCGAGCGUUAAUCGGAUUUACUGGGCGUAAAGCGUGCGUAGGCGGCUGAUUAAGUCGGAUGUGAAAUCCCUGAGCUUAACUUAGGAAUUGCAUUCGAUACUGGUCAGCUAGAGUAUGGGAGAGGAUGGUAGAAUUCCAGGUGUAGCGGUGAAAUGCGUAGAGAUCUGGAGGAAUACCGAUGGCGAAGGCAGCCAUCUGGCCUAAUACUGACGCUGAGGUACGAAAGCAUGGGGAGCAAACAGGAUUAGAUACCCUGGUAGUCCAUGCCGUAAACGAUGUCUACUAGCCGUUGGGGCCUUUGAGGCUUUAGUGGCGCAGCUAACGCGAUAAGUAGACCGCCUGGGGAGUACGGUCGCAAGACUAAAACUCAAAUGAAUUGACGGGGGCCCGCACAAGCGGUGGAGCAUGUGGUUUAAUUCGAUGCAACGCGAAGAACCUUACCUGGUCUUGACAUAGUAAGAACUUUCCAGAGAUGGAUUGGUGCCUUCGGGACUACAUACAGGUGCUGCAUGG
This 1000-nucleotide ribosomal RNA is filed under the name Acinetobacter sp. RNAcentral describes it as "bacterial SSU rRNA". It matches the Rfam family "Bacterial small subunit ribosomal RNA", at positions 54 to 1048 of the family's 1533-position model. The record is from RNAcentral. Lineage: Bacteria; Pseudomonadati; Pseudomonadota; Gammaproteobacteria; Moraxellales; Moraxellaceae.